CGGAGUCGGCUGCCUCCCUCCCCAGGGCCCUCCAAGGGAGUGGGCUCCACAUCCAUGGGCCCGAGGAAUCUGCGGAGAGACGGGAAGAGCAGGGGACACUCACAGGGCGGGGGUCCAGGCGGGAGUCCAGUAGUCCUCGUGGAGACAGCUGGGAAAGGCCUCGGGGCAAGGGACCUCGGAUUUCCUCCUCUGCCUCAAAACAGACAGUCUAAGCUGGGUUGUGAAGAAAGCUUGUUAACCUCAAGAUUCAGAAGCACCGUUCACAGCACAAGCUUUGGAGUCAAAUUCAGGCUGUUAACUUGCUGCGUGCGCCCCCGACUUACCUCUUUCUGCCUGUUUGCUCAUCCGUAAAAUGGGAACUGUGACUGAGUCUACUUUGAAUCUGAUUAUGCUGCAUGAACUCAGAAGACAGGGCUCACACUGCAAAGUAUACAAAGGACCUGGUGCAGAGGAAGGGAAGUCUGUGGUCCAGAGUGGCACCUGAAGAUGAGCAUUUCGCAACUGGGACUCCUCCCUGCCACCUGGCCUCCCCUACUCAAUGAGCUUUUCCCUGUUGCUCUAUGAAGAACAUAGAUGUGUCCAUGAAGGUAUUAAUUUCCCUGAGGAAAGGUAAUAAAGACUGGAAUGUACCCAGAUAUAAAAUAAAAGGGAAGUGGCAAGUAUCUUACCUGGCACACAGUGGGAACAUAACCUGAGAUUUCUAUUUUCCAAGAUGGACUGAACGUCACAGGCAUCAGUAGAAGGCUGAGAUGGUCUAUUUUGAGGAGUGCUGUACGUGUUCGCGUGUGUGUGUGCACGUGCACACCCAUACACACACACACACACAGACUGAGAUUUUAAAAGACCCAGUAAAGCCACACCCAGUGGCUCGUGCCUGUCAUCCUAGCACUUUGGGAGGCUGAGUUGGGAGGAUCACUUAAGACCACGAGUUCAAGACCAGCCUGGGCAACAUAGGGAGGCCCCGAUUCUACAAAAAUUUAAAAUAUUGAUUGGGUAUGUUGGUGCAUGCCUGCAGUCCCAGCUACUUGGGAGGCUGAGGUGAGAUGAUUACUUGAGCCUGGCAGCGGGUCAAGGUUACAGUGAACCAUGAUAGCACCACUACACACCAGCCUAGGUGACAGCAAGACCUUGUCUCAAAAAAAAAAAAAAAAAA
This 1153-nucleotide long non-coding RNA is filed under the name Homo sapiens (human). RNAcentral's name for it is "HSALNT0161842". Lineage: Eukaryota; Metazoa; Chordata; Mammalia; Primates; Hominidae. The record is from RNAcentral.